GUGGGGAAUAUUGGACAAUGGGCGCAAGCCUGAUCCAGCCAUGCCGCGUGAGUGAUGAAGGCCCUAGGGUUGUAAAGCUCUUUCACCGAUGAAGAUAAUGACGGUAGUCGGAGAAGAAGCCCCGGCUAACUUCGUGCCAGCAGCCGCGGUAAUACGAAGGGGGCUAGCGUUGUUCGGAAUUACUGGGCGUAAAGCGCACGUAGGCGGAUAUUUAAGUCAGGGGUGAAAUCCCAGAGCUCAACUCUGGAACUGCCUUUGAUACUGGGUAUCUCGAGUAUGGAAGAGGUGAGUGGAAUUCCGAGUGUAGAGGUGAAAUUCGUAGAUAUUCGGAGGAAAACCAGUGGCGAAGGCGGCUCACUGGCUCGAUACUGACGCUGAGGUGCGAAAGCGUGGGGAGCAAACAGGAUUAGAAACCCCAGUAGUCC
Molecule: ribosomal RNA, 425 nt
Filed under: uncultured bacterium
Lineage: Bacteria
Description: partial 16S ribosomal RNA
Rfam family: Bacterial small subunit ribosomal RNA
Source: RNAcentral